GAGGAGGCCGGCAGCGGGGCCGAGCGCCGCAGAGCCGGGGCUGCCGUGGCCUCGAGCCGGCGGGAGGCGCAUCCCCUCGCGGCGCGGUGAUUUCUCAGGACCACCCUCUCCCCUCGAUCACGGAAAUAUUAGUAUUUAUAUUGUACUUUAAACGGAGCAAAAGUUACCGGCUGGAGGCACAGUCCAGCAGAAGAGCCUGCCUUGUCUUCCAGGAGAGCUGGGACAGCCGCUCCUGCAGGACCAGAGCUGCUUUCGAGGUGCAGGAGUGGAAGGUAGCACAAGAAACCCAGCCUGAUCAGCAAUGUAAGGCUCUUUCAAAACUGUGCUUCACUGAUACCAGGAGGAACACAGAUGAGGAGAUGAUGCUAAACGUCACAACUCCAGGAAGCAGUGCCUUAAAAACAUGAAUUGCUCUGCCAUGAAGCUUUGGAUGAAGUUGCAAGGGGGUAAUGCUGGAGUCUGUAGGAGGUUGGGUAAGGGGUGGGAAUCUGCACAGCUCAAGUGGGGGGCCAGCCACUGCGCACUGCAGCCUGGGAAGCGCUACCCAGGCUGCCCCACAGGGAAGAUCUCCAAUACUCAAGCACGAGGUAGAGGAUUGUCCUGCUACCGAAUUCUCCAAAAAUGAGACACACAGGGGCGCCAAAGUCUCAGGAAAAGAAACCUCAGUGUGAGGCUUUUUGCUGCAGAGCUGCUUGUGGGCAGCCUGCUCCCCACAGGAGCAACAGCUCAUCAGCCUUGGCCUGCUUUCAUUUGCAGCCACGCUGGGGCUUCACAGGCCCCUGAACUUGCCUGUAGUAAGCAGGAUAGGUGGCUGCUUGCUGCUUUUAACCCUGCUCCUCUGGCCAGAAGUUCCCAAAGGAGGGGCAAGGUGUGACCGGGUGUAAGGGAUAUCACUUCCUCGGCAGAGCCAGGCAGUGUUUUGUCCUUCUGCCACAAGCGAGGCCAGUGAAAGAGUGAUUCCACCAGCCCUGGGCUGCCAUGAGAUUAUGCAUGUAGAGGACUGCUGUUCCUUCUGUUGCUCUUUGGGAAGAUCACACUGCAUCACCCAGAGCACAACCUAUGGUUUCUCUCACUUCAGCGGUUUUCUUCCACAGCAGUCAGGGAGGCAGGCAACGUAUGCUGGUAUAAAACACCCCAGAAACACAACUGAGUCAAGCAAGCCAGACCCAUGGUACAGGCUGCUGUGGAAAGACCAUGCUGUUCACUGCUUCGUUUUGCUUUGCUCUCUGCUGAGUGAUAUAUCUUAGUGACAAGUUGCUCUAGCCAUGCAGCACUGCUUUUAAUGCCAUAAAGUGUCAUGGGGUGUAGGCAUGUGCUAGGACAAUGGCUAGAGCUAAUGUUAAAGGCUAAAUGUAUUGCAGCUGCAUGCAAGCUGGUCUCGAUUAAAGACUACAGCCUUGGAAGUUUCUUGUUAAAAAAGUCACUUGGAGGGUUUUUUUUUUUUUUUUGUAUAUUAAUAUUGUUAUGGACAUCAGAGCCUCCAACAGUUAUUUUCCAGUAAUAUGUCUUUUUGUAAUUAUUUGACACAUUAAAAUAUAUGCCUUGCAGACAGCAGUUCUAAUGUUAGCUUAAAUAUAUCAAAGUAGAUUUUAUUUAAACCCCACUAUGGAGACUGCCAGGCUUUGUUUCAUAAAUACGUCUUGGAAUUAUUAGGGUGUUUUAUUCAAUGCACUGAAGAAUGCAAUUCCACUUCCAGUGUACCACAUUGUGCCAGGGUGGAUGCAAUGCCCAAGUGUCGUUAGAGAGACACCAAGAGUUCCAAAUGUAGGUGCGGGUGCCCAGGUUUAGAUACCAAAGAGCACAAUUCGGCACCUGAAUGGAAGCAGCCUGUUGCAGAGAGGCCCCAAGCACACACUGCUCCUCCAAAUCUCUCGCUCCUGACAAUGGGAUGCAAUGUCAGCAGCAGCAGGAGGAGCAGAUACUGGUCUAGCGGAUGGUUCUUGGUUUCCUUUCCUUGAUCUUCACCAAACCAGCUGCAAGACCUUGGGGAAAUUCCUUAUCUUCCCCUUGCAUCAAUUCACUUAUCUGUAAAGCAGAUAAACUAAUAACACUGCCUCUCUCAAGGGUUUGUUGAAGCUUAUUAUAGAGUUUGAGAGGGAAGUCAUUAUAAAAAUGACCGCAUUAAUAUGACAUGAAUGUAACAUGAAGGAGCCCCGUUCUGCUCCAUGCCAGUUUGUGGAGCCCUGUUAUUUGCUUUAGCAGAAACAGGGAUUUGGCCUGUACUUAAAUAACUUUCAUUUGUUUUUCUUGCAGCUAAGAGAUAGCAUUAAAAGGAAAGCUCACUCCUGCCUAUGUGUAAAUAUUCAGCACCUGAAUAGGUGUUCUUUUGCAGAGCACAGAUUCUGCUUCUUAACACUUUCCAAGGAUGUUAGUACAGACUCUUUCUAAGCUGCUGCAGAUCAGAAGAUACCCCGAAAUUAAUGGAUCAAAAUCCUUCCCAGAUAAGCAUACACAUACAGAAUUUAUUUUACUGAGCAAUUAAAUAUUUAAUAUAAAUAUCCCUGGGGGAGGAGGGUUGUGUGAGGUUUUAUGGCAUAUCUUAUUAUGGGCUCAGUUUUGAAAUCUUAAUCCAAGCAAAACUCGUCAUGUAGAGACUUAGCACUGGAGUGUAACUUGGUGCUUCGUCCUCAGGUCAGUGGAUACUUGCAGUUGCAUCAAUGAUUUUUAGGGCAGGGGGCAGUGAAGAUGGUGAAGCUUUACCCAAAGAAGUGCAGCCCUCUCCAUAAACAAUUAAUUUGGUUUAGCAAUAAUGCUUUGUUCAGGCAAGUCACAUUGGAGGAUACCGUUCUAUGAAUUUCACCUAACAACUUUAGUGAUGAAAAAUUAUAAAAUAAUAAAUGUCAAAUAACAAUUUUGUAUUUGUUUUUCAGUGGCAUGGUCAAUAAAACUGCAAUCUGCUGCAGCUGAGAUUGUUGGCAAAAUAGUUUCCUGUAUUUCAAAUGCAAAAGUCUUUUUGGAGAAUGUGUGAGCAGACAAAAUCACACAGAAAACACUCACAUUUUUUAUGCUCAAGCUGCAAGCGGAACUGUUUUCUUAAAACUAUGUAGGUUUUUUUCCUGUUUAGCAAAUUAAACGUACAAUUAAAAAAAAAAAAGUGAAUAGGGCAGAAUAAUCAAGUAAUUGGAUCUCAGCAUGUUUAUAGUAGCUAGAUUUCUUCUCCUGAAGACAAAAGUGCUUGGUGGCUUUAGCAUGGAUUUAUUGUGCUCUAUAAAAGGGUCAAAUUCCUUGCAAACAUUUGCAUUUGAGACCCUACAACUGUUCCCUGAAUGAUCAAAAAAAGCUGAAGUGCAGAGUUUUACCUCACGGGUGCUCUAUCAUUAGGAUGGAUUUUUAGGAGUUUGUUUUCUGGAGGUGGCAAUGUACUGAGCCCCAAAGGCCCUACGCUGGGAAAGGGGUGUCAGCUGAACUGGAAUGUACCUGCUACAUUUCCAUACAUCUACAGCAUGGGAAUUUGCAGCGUGCGGUUGCUCAUGCAGACACCAAGAAGUCCUCAGCAGAGCUGUUGCAUCCAUACAGCGCUGCGUGCUCAGUUUUCCCUGGGUUUGCUCACUUAGUUGCUUUGGUGUAGUUGGGUUAGUCAAUAAAUAUUAAAUGGGCAGAUGGGGACCCACGUGUGAAGAAAAAAAAAAAAAA
Long non-coding RNA from Anas platyrhynchos (mallard), 3633 nucleotides. RefSeq lists it as uncharacterized. Lineage: Eukaryota; Metazoa; Chordata; Aves; Anseriformes; Anatidae. The record is from RefSeq and is a predicted model, not a curated record.